CCUCUAGAUGAGGAAGAUUUAGUUGCUUAUAUCCUGAAUGGGUUAGAUGAAGAUUUUGAACCCGUUGUAUCUGCUAUUGUGGCACGUAAUGAAUCGGUCACAAUGGCGGAAGUCUACUCUCAACUCCUUAAUUUUGAGA
Molecule: small nucleolar RNA, 139 nt
Filed under: Oryza punctata
Lineage: Eukaryota; Viridiplantae; Streptophyta; Magnoliopsida; Poales; Poaceae
Description: Small nucleolar RNA Z247
Rfam family: Small nucleolar RNA Z247
About the family: Z247 is a member of the C/D class of snoRNA which contain the C (UGAUGA) and D (CUGA) box motifs.
Source: Rfam by way of RNAcentral